CGUACACACUCCCACACACUCGCACACACUCCCACACACUCGCACACACUCCCACACACUCGCACACACUCCCACACACUCGCACACACUCGCACACAAAUAAGGGGGCAGCCUCAAGGGGGGGUCUCUGAGCGGACGAUUCGGCUCCAUCGAGCGGCACCGUGCCCGGCACUGCCACGACGCUGUGCCGGGGCACGGUGGGGGCACGGUGGGGGGGGGGAGGCGGGGGGGGGUUCCCGUCUGGGAGUCGUGGCGUGACGGCGAUAGAGCAGCAAAGUUGAGGCGUCUCCUAAACCGCGAAUAAAAAAUCCUCAAGGCGUGCAUCAUCGCCGGUGCCAUGGCCACGACAUUCCCUCGUGUCCACAUCACGCCAUCUGGCCACCGUCGGCGCAUUUCCGAGUUCACGCCGUGCGUGCGUGCGUGCGGCGGCGGCUGCUGCGCGUGUUUGUGUGCGCGUGACAGCGUUCUUGCGGGUGCGUAUCGUGUUUUUGCCGACCGGUGGGUUUUGUGGCCGAGAUCGCGGUUUGCCGAUGCGGCCGUAGCGCCGGUUGUGGCGGUGAUGGCACCGCCAGAGAGAGGCUCGGCAAGAGCUCAGGGGGGCCCAAGCGGCUCGAUGGGCACCCAAGUUCAUGAAAAUCAAAAGGGGUGAAACCAAACAUCAGCUCAAAUUCAAAAGUGAAUGAACGUAACGUGCCAAUGAGUAUAACAGGCUCACUGAUCUGUCUCGUCUGUCUCGAUCUUCUCAAAACUCAUUCCGCCACAAUUAUCUUCAGUCCACGCUUCUCUCGUCUCUCUGCACCUCCGUCUCUUGUCUUCGUCGCUUCCGUCAUCUCUCGUUCGUAUUUUACGAGUCGGAAUGCAAAGGGAAGGCAUCCCACUAUAUCAACAAAAAUUCAGCUCCAGGCCUCCGAUUGGAUGAGCGCUCGCAUCAGGGGGCGGCGGUUGUUGGCGGUCGGCGCACCGCACCGGCGCACCGCCCCGGCUCGCCCCGGCCAAGAUGAGCGGCGAGCGCCGUCUCCGGGCCACGUCCGCUCGCGAGCAUCACCGGCGCCCGCGUCGGCCGCGUGCCACCGCGUCGCCUGUGCCUAAAACCGAACUCCCUCCCUUUGCCCUCCCCACCGCUCCACUCCUCCUCCACCACCCUCCGUAUCACCCGACCGCACCUUUUAACUUGUCACGAAGCGAUUUUGGGUGCAGAUAAAAAGCAAACGGUGCUGAUGAAUCGUCGAAAGGCCCCGCCCCCCCCCCCCAAGCCUCGGGGGCCCCCUCGACCAAAACGGAUCGCGUGCCAGAAUCCCCAGCCCCGUUGUGGCGGCGUCACCGUCGGCGUGAAUUCCCCGGCUGUCGGACCUCAGGAAUGUUUGCAACGUCCGGUAGGACGAGGAGGAUGAUGAUUGAUGUAACUUCUGAGAUCUUGUACAGCUGCCAGUACCCUCCUCUGGUGCGUGCAUGCAUGCGCGUACGUGGGUGGUGUGAGCGCGUGCGCGUGUUUUGGGGAAUCGUGCGUCACCUCCCGUCAGAUGACCCGCAACGCCGUGGGUCUGUGCCGUAACCUCCUGCCAGCAGCGAGCCAACGACACCUCACGUGACCUCAAGAGUGCAACUAGCCUGGCACGAGCGCUGUGGUGAAUUCGCCGUCGCUUGCUCACGUGGGCUGCUGUCGUGAACUCGUUUGAGCGCUGUGCUGCAAAGUCAGCGGCCAACACCGGUGGAAGUGAAAGUCGGAUCCGGUCUCCGGCCUCUUUGGUGUCCACUCAGCCUGGGGUGCUGUGUGAACGUGGACACCGGGGAGACAAAUGCCGUCUUGUGUGGUGCUGACUUCGAUAGUAGGCGCUCGCUGUGCCAUGGCUUGCCGUGAGAGUCUGCAGGGCUAUACGGCGUGUCUUUGUGAAUGUGCAGGGCUAUACGGUUGUCUUGGUGAAGAUGCAGGGCUAUACGACGUGUCUUGGUGAAGGUGCAGGGCUAUACGGCGUGUCUUUGUAAAGGUGCAGGGCUAUACGGCGUGUCUUUGUCUUUGUAAAGGUGCAGGGCUAUACGGCGUGUCUUUGUGAAGGUGCAGGGCUAUACGGCGUCUUUGUGAAGGUGCAGGGCUAUACGGCGUGUCUUUGUGAAGAUGCAGGGCUAUACGGCGUGUCUUUGUGAAGGUGCAGGGCUAUACGGCGUGUCUUAGUGAAGGUGCAGGGCUAUACGGCGUGUCUUUGUGAAGAUGCAGGGCUAUACGGCGUGUCUUUGUGAAGGUGCAGGGCUAUACGGCGUGUCUUAGUGAAGGUGCAGGGCUAUAAGGCGUGUCUUUGUGAAGGUGCAGGGCUAUACGGCGUGUCUUUGUCUUUGUGAAUGUGCAGGGCUAUAAGGCGUGUCUUUGUGAAGAUGCAGGGCUAUAAGGCGUGUCUUUGUGAAGGUGCAGGGCUAUAAGGCGUGUCUUUGUCUUGGUGAAUGUGCAGGGCUAUACGGCGUGUCUUUGUGAAGGUGCAGGGCUAUACGGCGUGUCUUUGUCUUGCGUGCGCAUGCUUCCGCCGAGCGUCGCGAUUUUUGUUUUAAAGAAGGAAAACCU
Non-coding RNA from Petromyzon marinus (sea lamprey), 2551 nucleotides. The record is from RefSeq and is a predicted model, not a curated record. NCBI's taxonomy places the organism in Eukaryota, Metazoa, Chordata, Hyperoartia, Petromyzontiformes, Petromyzontidae.